RNAcentral lists this ribosomal RNA (444 nucleotides) under Starmerella caucasica. RNAcentral describes it as "eukaryotic LSU rRNA". The stretch from base 119 to 268 matches the Rfam family "5.8S ribosomal RNA". Lineage: Eukaryota; Fungi; Ascomycota; Dipodascomycetes; Dipodascales; Trichomonascaceae. The record is from RNAcentral.
UUUCUGAAGGCUACACGCCAACAUUGUGAAACGCACUCUCGGGUGCAUUGCUUGGGUGCUUUCGGGCGCCCAACUAUCAACCUAUUUUUUUUUUAAUCUGAAAACCAAGAAAAUUCAAAACUUUCAACAACGGAUCUCUUGGUUCUCGCAUCGAUGAAGAACGCAGCAAAGCGCGAUAGGUAAUGCGAAUUGCAGACGUGAGUCAUUGAAUCUUUGAACGCACAUUGCGCUACUAGGUUCUCCUAGUAGCAUGCUUGUUGGAGCGCCGAUCUUUCUCCUCUACCUGUUUCUUAGGAGACGGGCAGGAGGGUCCUGCUCCCGCCGGGAGUGAAAAGAAUGGAAGUGCACACGUUAGAUAACUCUGUGCAGUUACACUUUUUUAAUUUUGGCCCCCAAUCAAGCAAGGCUACCCGCUGAACUUAAGCAUAUCAAUAAGCGGAGGAA